AGGAGGAACAGCCCCAGUGGCGGGGCAGCUCUGGAAACCUGGAUUCAGCUCCGGCAGGAACUCCGGAGCUCUCCGUCUGCAGGGCCUGGAGGCUCCCGGGCGGG
Non-coding RNA from Canis lupus familiaris (dog), 104 nucleotides. The record is from Rfam. NCBI's taxonomy places the organism in Eukaryota, Metazoa, Chordata, Mammalia, Carnivora, Canidae.